RNAcentral lists this ribosomal RNA (431 nucleotides) under uncultured Alphaproteobacteria bacterium. RNAcentral's name for it is "bacterial SSU rRNA". It matches the Rfam family "Bacterial small subunit ribosomal RNA", at positions 29 to 505 of the family's 1533-position model. Lineage: Bacteria; Pseudomonadati; Pseudomonadota; Alphaproteobacteria. The record is from RNAcentral.
AACGAACGCUGGCGGCAGGCCUAACACAUGCAAGUCGAACGGUUCCUUCGGGAAUAGUGGCGCACGGGUGCGUAACGCGUGGGAAUAUACCCUUUACUGCGGAAUAAUGUCUGGAAACGGACACUAAUACCGCAUAAUGACUCCGGUCCAAAGAUUUAUCGGUAAAGGAUUAGCCCGCGUCUGAUUAGUUUGUUGGUGAGGUAACGGCUCACCAAGACGAUGAUCAGUAGGGGGUCUGAGAGGAUGAUCCCCCACACUGGUACUGAGACACGGACCAGACUCCUACGGGAGGCAGCAGUGAGGAAUAUUGGACAAUGGAGGCAACUCUGAUCCAGCCAUGCCGCGUGAGUGAAGAAGGCCUUAGGGUUGUAAAGCUCUUUCAAUUGUGAAGAUAAUGACGGUAACAAUAGAAGAAGCCCCGGCUAAAUUCG